AAAAAAAGAAAUAUGUAAAACGAAGAAAGUCGUAAUAAGGAAAGCUUGUAUUUUACAAAGUCGGGAAGUCAACAAUUUCAAAUUUUUAAAUUGUUGGAGGUCGAAAAUCGACUUCAAGAAACAGAGCGAUAAUUGUCUUAAAGCCACUAGUUAUAUUACAAGUAGAGCUGAUAUUAGUGAAAAAGGGGUGGAUCUGCAGCACAAUGUACGAAAAUUUCCACCGACGUGUAAGAAAGUAUCACCGUGAAAUAAGGACAACACGGUAGGUGUUCUCGUAAAGCACUUCGCCUUACGUAUCUCUUGUUUUUCUGGCAACAGCAGAGAACUUAUCCAGAAAUAUAGAUUUCACUGUUCAUCAGUCCUUAUAUCAACAUUAUCUUCACUCGAUUUUGGAUUUGAACCACAGCCACCACGUGCAUCCGAAGGGACCUCUCCAAUAACCAGGAUGAGGCAAUACAGACGAGUGGUAUGUUGAAUUCACAGAACCCAUAUGUGUGAAGAGCCUACUUUAUGUUUUCAAAAAAAUAUAUGUAUGCAUAACCCCUGAUAUCAAAAUUGGUGGUGCGGAUAGAAAUCAGAAUAUCUUCAAACUUUCGACUUGCAUUGUAUUGUGCUAAAUGUAUUUACAAAAUUUUUUAUUUGAAUUGAAUUUUUAUAAAUAAAACAACAUAAAAUUUUA
This 679-nucleotide long non-coding RNA is filed under the name Lucilia cuprina (Australian sheep blowfly). Its description in RNAcentral is "uncharacterized LOC124419497, transcript variant X1". The record is from RNAcentral. Lineage: Eukaryota; Metazoa; Arthropoda; Insecta; Diptera; Calliphoridae.